RNAcentral lists this long non-coding RNA (1530 nucleotides) under Sus scrofa (pig). RNAcentral describes it as "lncRNA (ENSSSCG00030033799.1)". The record is from RNAcentral. Lineage: Eukaryota; Metazoa; Chordata; Mammalia; Artiodactyla; Suidae.
UUUUUUUUUUUUUGGCCUUUAUAUUUUUAUUCAAGUUUGUGUUGCUUUAUAGAUACAGACAAUGAUUGCCUAUCAUUUAGGAAAGGAAAUGGCAGAGAACAAAUCUGUCUAAGGUUAUUCUAGAAGCACUUUACUAGUUUUCACUACAGCUUUAUAAUUAUGUUUUAAUUAUUUUUGAGCAACUUCUAUUAGAUUUUGUUUGUUGUUUUAAUAAUGAUUUUUAGUUUUCCAUUAUAGUUGGUUUAUAGUGUUCUGUCAAUUUUCUACUACUGUACAGCAAAGUGAUCCAGUCACACAUACAUACAUAUAUAUAUACACAUUCUUUUUCUCACAUUAUCAUGCUCCAUCACAAGUGACUAGAUAUAGUCCCAGUGCUACCCAGCAGGAUCUCACUGUUGAUCCAUUCCAACAAUUCAGGAAACGUUAGCGAGAUGUUCUAACAACUAAAUUAAUUAACUAAUAAAGGCAUACCUCCUUUUAUGCAACUGCCUUAUUUGUGUUAGUUUCCGCCUAGCUUUCUCUCCUAAUCUACGGAAAUGAGAGUAAUGGAGGUGAGACCAGAGAGGUGGGCAGACAGACACCGGAACAUUCGGGGCCCUGCAGGGGUCUCAGAGAAUUAGGGGUUUACCCUGAAGCCUCGGAGGAACCACCAAAGACUUGAACUCGGAACGAGCAGGCCCACAUGUGUGCUUUGGGGUCAUCACUCUCAUUGCAAAGUGGACACAGAUCAGUGUGGGUGAAACAGGGGCAAGGAGAUGCAUUUGAAGGCUGCUGUGCUCAUCCAGGUGAGAGGAGCUGGCUGUGAAAGAUGGUGGUGGAAGUAGGCUAGAGAUCACAGAAGCAACGCAUAUUCUUUCACCUCUCUUCCUAUUUCACAUGGGACUAAAUGCAAACUCACAUGUCCUAAUAAUAAGCACAUCAAACUCUUUUCAAAGUUAAAAAGCCAUCCUUAAAGCAACAAUGAGUUUUAAAGUAGAUAGCAGCCUUCUAGAAAGGAAAGGGGGAAGCGAAUUGGUGUUCUCUGCCUGGCAGUGGACAAGUGAAAGGCAGAGAAAGGCUGCUGUGUCAUUUCCUCACUUCCUGGUACCUAUGGCUGACGUUAUCCAUUACGACUAUUUAGCCUAGCUUCUAAACUCUAGUUGUGUUCCUCAGUACUUAUUUUGACAAGCGAGUUCUUCCUGAAGCCCCAGAUGCAUUGCUGUUAUGUCAAACUUUACUUCUCCCCUGUAGCAAAGAAUUUGCUCUUUUGGCUGGCAGGAUGUUUCUCAUGAAUGAGCUGGAGAGAACUCUGGGAAAUUUCUCUGUCCCUGGGUGAGGGAUUCCUUAACUGUGAAUUAUUAAGGCCAUAGAGAUGCAUCUAAAAGUAGCAGGAAUCAUCUAGAAAAUAAUGAUCUUUGAAUUUCUACAUAUUUUGCUAUUAAGUGACAUUGACUGGAACCAUAGUCUUCAAGCCUUAGUCACUGAAAAAUGUGAAUAAAAUAUACACUCAUUUUACCCUCAGCUUUUCUUCUAAGUCUGGUUUUGGCAAAC